This 468-nucleotide ribosomal RNA is filed under the name uncultured bacterium. RNAcentral's name for it is "partial 16S ribosomal RNA". It matches the Rfam family "Bacterial small subunit ribosomal RNA", at positions 28 to 507 of the family's 1533-position model. The record is from RNAcentral.
GACGAACGCUGGCGGCGUGCUUAACACAUGCCAGUCGAACGGAAAGGCCCUGCUUUUGUGGGGUUCUCGAGUGGCGAACGGGUGAGUAACACGUGAGUAACCUGCCCUUGACUUUGGGAUAACUUCAGGAAACUGGGGCUAAUACCGGAUAGGAGCUCCUGCUGCAUGGUGGGGGUUGGAACGUUUCGGCGGUUGGGGAUGGACGGGCGGCUGAUCGGCUUGUUGGUGGGGUAGUGGCUUACCAAGGAUUUGACGGGUAGCCGGCCUGAGAGGGUGACCGGCCACAAGGGGACUGAGAUACGGCCCAGACUCCAACGGGAGGCAGCAGUGGGGAAUAUUGCACAGUGGGCGGAAGCCUGAUGCAGCAACGCCGCGUGCGGGAUGACGGCCUUCGGGUUGUAAACCGCUUUCGCCUGUGACGAAGCGUGAGUGACGGUAAUGGGUAAAGAAGCACCGGCUAACUACGUG